AAGCCGCUGCCUCCCCGGAGCCGGCAGUGCGCUCCGGCCUCGCACCUGCCGCCCGUCGCCUGCAGCCCCUACCGCGCGCUCCGCGCCCCGCCUGCUCCCGGCAGUCACUGGGCAAGAGAAGACUGGAAGCAUGUCGGAGUUUUGGUUAAUUUCCGCCCCUGGAGAUAAGGAAAAUGUGCAAGCUCUGGAGAGGAUGAACACUGUAACCUCCAAGUCCAACCUGUCUUAUAAUACCAAAUUCGCUAUUCCUGACUUCAAGGUGGGGACCUUGGAUUCCCUGGUUGGCCUCUCUGAUGAGUUGGGGAAACUCGACACCUUUGCUGAAAGCCUCAUAAGAAGAAUGGCUCAGAGCGUGGUGGAAGUCAUGGAGGACUCAAAGGGGAAGGCCCAGGAGCACCUCCUGGCAAAUGGAGUUGACUUAACAUCCUUUGUGACCCACUUUGAAUGGGACAUGGCCAGAUACCCUGCCAAGCAGCCGCUCGUGAGCGUGGUGGACACAAUAGCCAAGCAACUGGCGCAGAUCGAGAUGGACCUGAAGUCCCGAACGGCCGCUUACAACACUCUGAAGACAAACCUGGAGAACAUGGAAAAGAAAUCCAUGGGGAACCUCUUCACCCGGACACUGAGUGAUAUUGUGAGCAAGGAGGACUUCGUGCUGGAUUCUGAGUAUCUCAUCACACUUCUGGUCAUCGUCCCCAAACCCAACUACUCACAAUGGCAAAAAACCUACGAAUCUCUCUCAGACAUGGUGGUCCCUCGAUCAACCAAACUCAUUACUGAGGACAAGGAGGGGGGCCUUUUCACUGUGACUCUGUUUCGAAAAGUGAUUGAAGAUUUCAAAACCAAGGCCAAAGAAAACAAGUUCACUGUUCGUGAAUUUUACUAUGAUGAGAAGGAAAUUAAAAGGGAAAGGGAGGAGAUGGCCAGAUUACUGUCCGAUAAGAAGCAACAGUAUCAAACUUCCUGUGUUGCUCUUAAAAAGGGAUCAUCCACCUUCCCGGACCACAAGGUUAAGGUAACCCUGCUAGGUAACCCUGAUAGGCCCGCUGCGGGGCAGACCGACAGAGAGAGAGAGAGUGAGGGCGAGGGUGAGGUAAGCAACGCCCCGGGAACCCCGGGGUCCCUGGCUCGCAUCUCCUCGCCAACUCAGGCAUCUUCUGGGAAAAUGAAUCCUUGCAUUUUUCUGUUCUCUAACAUGGCUUUUGAGGUCUUAAAUUUGAGGAGCCAGAAUCAUGCCUUCCUCCUAAUCUGCAGGGCCUCUUUGGAGCUGCCCCCGCCUGGAGUGAAGGGUGCUUGUCGGCCAGGGCGCCUGUCCCCGGGCCCCUGGCUGGAGGUGGCUGGAGCUGGGACGGGCAGGGCCCUGGCUGGGGUGGUGGCAGGCAGCUCAGCUCUCCUCCCUUGGCUGCCCUUGCUGAACCCACCCCUGACCUUUGUGGGCAGUUGCAGUGUCGGGCGGGAGCUCCGAGCUCUUGCUCCCAGACUCUGAGCUCCCAGGAGGACCUGCCACACCAGUAUCAGUGGCUGCUGCUGUGGCCACGUGAGGCGGGGCUGUGAGGGGAGGCGCUGCUGUGGUUGAUGCCAGGACCCUGGGGGCAGAGCCUCUGAGAAGGUGGACUCCCUGGCUGCGCAGUGUCAGGCAGAAGCCCCUGGCUGCCCGCUGAAAGCCCCGAGGUCAGGGGCUGCCCAGCUCCCCGUGCUGCGGUCUGCGGUGGCCCCAUGCAUGCACCGGGUGGCUGGCCCGCUGAGCUUCCCUGGCACCAGGCGCCCUGGACCUCGAGGUCCUGAGCCUGACCCAGGGCUGGUCCGACCAACUCUCUGCUUCUGGCUCCUGGGCACUUCUUCUCAGCUCAGGGCGUGCUCUGUCAAAACCCAAGUCCUUUCUUGGCUCUGUGUUGGGCGGGGUGGCCAGGAGGGGUCACCGGGCUCUUCUGUCCUUUCAGGGCCCCCUGCUGCGCUGGCUCAAGGUGAACUUCAGCGAAGCCUUCAUUGCCUGGAUCCACAUCAAGGCCCUCAGAGUGUUUGUGGAGUCCGUGCUGAGGUAUGGACUUCCAGUCAACUUCCAGGCAGUGCUCCUGCAGCCGCUUAAGAAGUCAUCCACCAAGCGUUUAAGAGAGGUUCUAAACUCUGUCUUCCGACAUCUGGAUGAAGUAGCCGCUACAAGUAUACUGGAUGCAUCUGUGGAGAUCCCGGGACUGCAACUCAAUAACCAAGACUAUUUUCCCUAUGUCUACUUCCAUAUUGACCUUAGUCUUCUCGACUAGAAAGGCCAGCUGGCACCUCUGUCUCGUGUUCGUGCAGACUAUUAGACACCUCUUUCCUUUAGCCAGAGAAUGGUUCAAAUGUCUUACAGAACUAAGAUGUUUUUCAGAGAAAUUGCUCACAAAAGUUAGUGACAGUUGUAUUUAUUUUUUUUUAAGUUACAAUAAAAUGCUCUCAAGUCCUUUGAAGGUUCUAACAAAUUCAAAACUUCAUUUUUCUGAAUGUUUUACAUAAAUGCGAACUACCUGUUCGCAUUGGUAACCUGCUGCUGUAUUUCAUGUCUUAAUGGCUAUUCUGAGGUUCAUAACAACAUAGAAAGCCUUGUACUGUAUAACCAGCUAGAUUCCUUAAUAAUUAGUCACUAGAGAAAGCCCAAAGACAAAUAUUGGGCGGGAAGUCAGUGCUCACUGAGCCCGGUUUCCAUGUAAAAUAGCUGUUGUGGGGGGCAUUGAUGGCGCCAUCUGAAGCAAAGAGAUCUUGUUUUUUGUUUAAAAAAGUUUAUGGGGGAGGAAAGACAUCUGUGUAUCACUUCAAAAUAUUAAUUUACUGCUAAACAUCACUCUGAAUUUAUGAUGUAGAUACUAAUUUCAUACAUUUAUCGGCAUUAUCCAAAAUAUUUUAUUCUUUAAUGGAAAAAGCCAUUAAUAUUCAAAUGAAGGAAUCACAUUAAAAAACCCAUACAUAAGAAACAGCCUCCAAGAACAUUCAAGCAGCAGUCA
Molecule: non-coding RNA, 2978 nt
Organism: Chlorocebus sabaeus (green monkey)
Lineage: Eukaryota; Metazoa; Chordata; Mammalia; Primates; Cercopithecidae
Source: RefSeq, a predicted model, not a curated record